AAGUACGGAGAUUGUUCUAUUGUGUUGUGUGGUUUACUCGCAAGCUUUUAAGCAAGAGUGAAUCCUAGUUUCUUAGGAGUGUGUCUCCACCUGUUGUGAUUGUGGAAUUGAAUAGCAGCGCUGUCUGUGUAGCUAAGGUGGGAAUUGGGACGGGGUCUCAUAUCUAGGAGUUCCUAGGUAGAAGGGUCAUUGGGUAGUGAUUAAGUGAGAAGUUGUAAACGGGUGAGUUUAGCUUCGAAGUAAUACUGCUGAUAGUGGACUUCAUUCCUGGAUUGGUAUCCCCUAGAGUAGGCUUUAGGCUGAACUGGGUUAACAACUCUCGUGUGUUAUUUACUUUAAUGUUUGUAUUGUUUUAUGUUAUUUGCUCUGUUUAUAGACAAGUGUUGGCGCACCAGUAACAACAUCUGUCUACAACAGACAAGUGUUGCUACACCUUGAGCAACACCUGUCCACUGUGUGCCAG
Molecule: long non-coding RNA, 463 nt
Filed under: Trifolium pratense (red clover)
Lineage: Eukaryota; Viridiplantae; Streptophyta; Magnoliopsida; Fabales; Fabaceae
Description: long non-coding RNA (TPRA_LNC005360)
Source: RNAcentral